UUAAUUUCUAUAAACUAAAAUCCAAAACUCAAAAGUUAGAAUCUAUAACUUACAAAUGGGUGUUGGCAGCAACCAUCAAAAUCCUCAAAAUCCAACGACCAAAACCUGAAUUAUUUGCCUCCUUAAUGUCACUGCAGAACCAUCCAACCCACCGCCGAUUUAGUUGUAUCAUUCAUUGUACGAAUAAUCAAUCAACUCAGCAAUCUUAGGCAAAAGCAUUGCCAUAGCACUACCGAGAGCUUCGUCUCAAUUCUUCUUCUUCGGCAAUCAAAAGCCUCAUUGAUCUUUCAUCUUAUCGCAACCAUUCAGCAGUCAAGACCCAUACUUCUUUUGCUCUUUUCCAGUAGAGAAUGACCACGCCGUGGCUGCGACAGUUGUGGAGUUCCAAGUCAUUGAGGACAUCAUCUUACAACAGCUCUUUGACACCACAACUACCCAUGAUUGUUUAUAAGGUUUGGGAUUGUUGUUUCAAAUUUUUGUUUUGAUCGUUUAAUUGAGCUACUAUUACUAGAAAAUUAGGAAACACUGUAAUUUGAUAUUUGGGAUUACUUAAUUUUUAAAUUAUGAAUAAUCUUUAAUCUUGAAUUAACCAUAUUAUUAAUGAUAGAUUGAAUUUACUUUAUUAUUGUUUAUUAUUUUUAGUUUGGUGAAUAAGCAAAUGAUUUGAAGAAUUUUGGGUUGUGUGGGAUGACUCUGGUUUUUUGUGAGACGGGUUUUGAAGUUUUAGAUUAAGUUUGUGGUAGCAUUUUUCUUUUGUUCUUUGAUUUUUUUUAUAUCUAUAUAUUUUUUUAAAUACCUUUGCUAAAGGAAAAAAAGAAUAAUAAUGAUUAUAAUGAUAAACAUAAAAAAAAUGUAAAAUAUUAUUUUUUUUCCAUUUAUAACUUUAAUUAAUUUCUUUAUUUAUUUUUUAAAAUAAAAUUUUCAAAUACAAAAAAUUAAAAUUUAAUCAGCUCGACAAAAUUAGACAUAUAGUGCAAAAUGAAAAUGUUUUAAAAUAUUAGGGAUGCAUAUCAUAAAUAUUUAAAAUAUUUGUGUGUGUUCUGAAAAACUUAUUGACUGUUAAGGGAAUGCACAAAUAUUGUUUUACCUUUUUAACCGUUAAAAGUAAUAGACAGAUAAUAUUUUUUUAGGAGUAGCUUAAUAUUUUUAAUUAUAAGAGGGUCAAUUUAAAAAUUGUUACUUCACGAAGGGAAUAGGCCAAAAUUUACCCUUAGUUUUAAUUAUCACCCUCCUUAAAUUUACUGUUUUUAAUUAGAAGACCCUAUAUUGUUUUAUUAUUUUUUCAUUAUGGUCCACCGACCAGUAAAGUCUGGGACUGGGUUAUCAGCCGAUGUCAUUCACAUCCUGUCAAAAGUAUGAAAGGAAAACCACUUUUAAAAUUAAUUUUCACGAUUAUAUAAACACAAGAUAUACAAUAAGGUGGUACAUAUUGGGUCUAACUGAACAUGAAUGCCCCUGUGGACAAAAAAAGGGUGCAGUAAAAUGGUACGGUGAGUUAUGGUAAUGUGCUCGCAAUAAUGGAAAAAUUCGCAAAAAAGGUGGCUGUCCAAUUGUGAGGGGCUUCGCAGGC
This 1570-nucleotide long non-coding RNA is filed under the name Citrus sinensis (sweet orange). Its description in RNAcentral is "long non-coding RNA (CSIN_LNC002912)". Lineage: Eukaryota; Viridiplantae; Streptophyta; Magnoliopsida; Sapindales; Rutaceae. The record is from RNAcentral.